This 206-nucleotide ribosomal RNA is filed under the name uncultured bacterium. RNAcentral's name for it is "partial 16S ribosomal RNA". It matches the Rfam family "Bacterial small subunit ribosomal RNA", at positions 568 to 774 of the family's 1533-position model. The record is from RNAcentral.
UGCGUAGGUGAUUUCUUAAGUCAGAGGUGAAAGGCUACGGCUCAACCGUAGUAAGCCUUUGAAACUGGGAAACUUGAGUGCAGGAGAGGAGAGUGGAAUUCCUAGUGUAGCGGUGAAAUGCGUAGAUAUUAGGAGGAACACCAGUUGCGAAGGCGGCUCUCUGGACUGUAACUGACACUGAGGCACGAAAGCGUGGGGAGCAAACA